Molecule: non-coding RNA, 291 nt
Organism: Erythranthe guttata (spotted monkey flower)
Lineage: Eukaryota; Viridiplantae; Streptophyta; Magnoliopsida; Lamiales; Phrymaceae
Source: RefSeq, a predicted model, not a curated record
ACCAUGUACGAGGAGGAUCCCCGCUAAGAAUCCAUGGCUGAAUGGUUAAAACGCCCAACUCAUAAUUGGUGAAUUCGUAGGUUCAAUUCCUACUGGAUGCACGCCAAUGGGACCCUCCAAUAAGUCUAUUGGAAUUGGCUAUGUAUCAAUGGAAUCUCAUCAUCCAUAAAUAACGAAUUGUUGUGGUAUAUUCAUAUCAUAAUAUAUGAACAGUAAGAACUAGCAUUCUUAUUGAGACUAGAACUCAUAGGCAAGAAAAUUGAUUUAUGGAUGGAAUCAAAUAUGCAGUAU